GGGAUGAUCUCCCAACACAAAAUCAUUUUCUGUUUUAGUCCAUUUUCUGUCUCUGUAACAGAAUGCCUGUGACCAGAUAUCUCGUAUAGGGACCACUAAAGCAGCUAGGAGUACCAUGUCCUGGGCUCUUGCUGUUCAGCUUGUAUAUUUCAGAUGAUGUGUCUGGAGAAGCUGAAAACACAACCAAACUAAAACCAAGUCCUUGGAUUUAGUGAAACCAAAUUCUGGCUCAAAGACAGUCUUUGAGGCUUCCAGACCAAGCAAAUGAAAGAAGCCAUGAGACGUAAAGGACUCAGGCCUAAAGCUCUUCAAUGAGUGUGGCUCUUGUCUGCCCUUUUCUCCAGUGCCAAGUUUUCAGCUGAGUUCUUCAGGAUUCUGGUCUCCAAGUUGAGAGGUCCUACACUGGUAUCACAGAAGCCAGGGCUGCGUUGUUGUCUUCUGCCAGUGGAACCACGAGCUCAAGCUUCAGCUAUGCCUCUUUUCACAAAGAUAGCCUGGCAGCUGGUUUUCAUGAGGCAGGAUCAAGACCACAGACAAUUUAUUAUGAGAGACAUGGGUGAAGAACGACCAAGGGACGUUAUGGCUAUGAGUGACAUGGAAUUAGAUGAAGAGGCUCAAGUUUGCUGAAGAGAGUUUAAAUUUGGCUUUUGCUCUCGGAAACGUCAAAAUAAUCAUAAGGAGCACUUGUGCCUUACAGAGCAAAUAAUCCACAGUGUCAAUUUCAUUUUGCAAACAGUGUCACAACAGCAGUCAACAGAAGCCUAGAGAGUUAACAUACAGGUUUGGUAAGAUAUAACAAGGGAUUGUGCAUGCUGGUGGUUAAGUCAGGUCCACAAUGAACCCAUGACCUACUUGGAGGUUUAUGUGGCAGCUGGGGAGAACAGCUUUCCACACAGAACAACACGAGACAACAGGAAGAGCAGACUCUGCUGGGCGACUAUAAUGAUCAUCUGCAGUAAGGCUUUCAAGAUACAGGAGUUUUUAUAGCAUUUGUAUUUUAAGGAUUUAGGGCAAAUACAUUUUUUUUCUACUUGAUAAAAAGAAAAUUAGUACUUAAAAGGUUCAAAAAUAUAUUGAUUGAGUGCUUCUUUUACAUAAAUAAAUUAUAUUGAUUUUUAGGAUUUAACAGCUGAAAAACCCUUUCUGCUUCCACUGGAGGCAAAACUGAACAGAAUGUUAGUUCAAUAGCGAGCAGCAUUUCUAAGAAAUCUGUUGUCAGCAUCACAGACCUUCUAUACUACAAACACAUCAUUAAAUAGCAUUUAUUCAGUUCUUGGAUUCUUCUUUCUUAUAGAUCAGUUAUAGAAUUUCUAGUUUAUAUCUAUGAUUCAUAAAACCGGGACUCUCCUUUUUGAAAAUA
Mesocricetus auratus (golden hamster) is the source of this 1360-nucleotide long non-coding RNA. RefSeq lists it as uncharacterized. Lineage: Eukaryota; Metazoa; Chordata; Mammalia; Rodentia; Cricetidae. The transcript has 3 exons. The record is from RefSeq and is a predicted model, not a curated record.